ACUGAAAUCACAAAAGACAUAAUUGUGUUAAAUGUGAUAAGGUAAGGAGGAAAACUGAUGUAACCUUACUAUUAGUGUUGUCCAAAUCUGGUGCCAGAAGACUCGGUAAGACCAGGAAACGCAAACGUUAAUCGUCUUUAUCAGGCGUAAAGGGUUUGUAGGCUGCUUUUACUAUUUUUUAAAUUAGCUCUGAUAAAAUUUCAGUUUAAAAAAUACAAUAAAAGCUAGAAUCAAAUUGAGGGUAAGCCGAAGAAUACUUAGAGUAGGGAUGAUAUCCAUAGAUACUAAGGGGAAUACUAAAGGUGAAAACUUUUAUCUACUAUUGAUUGACGCUGAGAAACGAAGGUGAGAAUAGGAAAUAGGAUUAGAUACCCAGAUACCUCUCACUGUCAACGAUGAAUGGUGGUUUGUUAGUUUUAAUAAAAACUAAUAACGAUGCUAACGCGAUAACCAUUCCGCCUUGCGAGUACGGUU
Molecule: ribosomal RNA, 474 nt
Filed under: Amanita vaginata
Lineage: Eukaryota; Fungi; Basidiomycota; Agaricomycetes; Agaricales; Amanitaceae
Description: mitochondrial SSU rRNA
Rfam family: Bacterial small subunit ribosomal RNA
Source: RNAcentral